CAUCAAUUCAAUCCUCUGAAUUCGUUGGGAGAUGUUUUCGAAUUCUCUUUUGUUUGUUGAUUUUUUAUUCCAUUUGUUUUACGUAUUUGUUUGCGUCUCAUCAGAUUCUGUGAGGCUCUCUCUCUCUCUCUCUGAUCAUCUCUCUACCCCCUAUAUGAUUGUCCAUUGUAAUCGGUUUCUCUUUGAUGUUUUUCUUUGAACUUUGCUCUUUAAUUGCAUCUGACUUGAGCUUUCUGAUAUCUGGAACAAGCUUUGUGUAAUUUUAUAUUAGACAUGUAUUUGUUUUCUUAUCCGAAAGAAACACGAAAAGGUAUGGAAGCAUAACAUAAAUUUAUAAUUUGCAUAUGCAUCUACAUUUUAUCUCUUCUCAUUCUCUAUGGUAUUAGUUGAUGAGAAGGUACUUGCUAUUUCAAUUGAAGCUUCAACCUUUAUUGUGAUCACAUCUAGAGGUAAUUUAUCUUCGUCACAUCUGGUUGAUUUGUAUUGAUUCAUGAUUGCAGGCUAUCCUAAUUCAUGGCUCUAUUAGCUUGCAUAGUAUGAACACCUUCAAAACUCCUCAAAUAAGGAGCACUUAUGAGCACAGUGGCUUCAAAGUUACUAGGAGCAAUCAAAACUUCACACUGUCGGAGUUACCACUGUACCAGUUUGUAUUAGGUUCACCGAGCAAACAAGUUUUAUUUAGACAGCAUCAAUGGUCUGCCAUAUUCCAACGGAGAUGUUCCGGUUCCGUAAUUAUGACAGCUGAUGCUACUGGCCGACACUAACACAUAAGUACCAGUUAAAGUUAGGGGCAUAAAGACAACUUUGACUAAACACAGAGCACAUAACGUCUAAUGGUUCAGAGGGAAACAAUCGUGUGUCUGAGUGUAUUUGACGUCGUAGGCAACCUCCCCAAUAACAAAUUAGUUGCCUCUGGUGUGGAGCCAAAGGUCAUUCUCGCCACAAACAUCAAUCGCAAAUUGGUUGGAGAAAAUGUGACAGCUUUGUGGGAUCUUCCUAAACUCCCACAAAAUAUGGUGGAAUUCAGAAGCUACUGUCUGGUACCGUCUAAGGCUCUAAGCGUUUGAUGCAUGUCUCGCAUUCUGAGCCACCUGUACAGAUUCUAGACUCACCCCAACUUUCAUACAAUUUUCAAAAUUAGAGCAUUUUACGUACUGUCAUUGUAUACACUACACAGUCAGUGAAGUUAUUAUACACCAAUAACGUGAUACUCUUUAACAUUGCA
Long non-coding RNA from Raphanus sativus (radish), 1225 nucleotides. RefSeq lists it as uncharacterized. Lineage: Eukaryota; Viridiplantae; Streptophyta; Magnoliopsida; Brassicales; Brassicaceae. The transcript has 4 exons. The record is from RefSeq and is a predicted model, not a curated record.